RNAcentral lists this ribosomal RNA (292 nucleotides) under uncultured Alphaproteobacteria bacterium. Its description in RNAcentral is "partial 16S ribosomal RNA". Lineage: Bacteria; Pseudomonadati; Pseudomonadota; Alphaproteobacteria. The record is from RNAcentral.
GGACUACAAGGGUAUCUAAUCCUGUUUGCUCCCCACGCUUUCGCACCUCAGCGUCAGUGCUGGACCAGUUAGCCGCCUUCGCCACUGGUGUUCUUCCCAAUAUCUACGAAUUUCACCUCUACACUGGGAAUUCCACUAACCUCUUCCAGUCUCUAGGUCGCCAGUAUCAAAGGCAGUUCUGGAGUUGAGCUCCAGGAUUUCACCCCUGACUUAGCAACCCGCCUACGUGCGCUUUACGCCCAGUAAUUCCGAACAACGCUAGCCCCCUUCGUAUUACCGCGGCGGCUGGCAC